GGCUCAGGAUGAACGCUGGCGGCGUGCCUAACACAUGCAAGUCGAGCGAGAUGUAUAUGGACGAAACUUCGGUCUAGGAAAUAUAUUGAUAGCGGCGGACGGGUGAGUAACGCGUAGGCAACCUGCCCCAAACACAGGGAUAGCCUCGGGAAACCGGGAUUAAAACCUGAUGACGCCAAAGAGUCACAUGGCUCAUUGGCCAAAGAUUUAUCGGUUUGGGAUGGGCCUGCGUCUGAUUAGUUAGUUGGUGGGGUAACGGCCUACCAAGACGACGAUCAGUAGCCGACCUGAGAGGGUGAUCGGCCACAUUGGAACUGAGACACGGUCCAAACUCCUACGGGAGGCAGCAGUGGGGAAUAUUGCACAAUGGGCGAAAGCCUGAUGCAGCAACGCCGCGUGAGCGAUGAAGGCCUUUGGGUCGUAAAGCUCUGUCCUUGGGGAAGAAACAAAUGACGGUACCCAAGGAGGAAGCCCCGGCUAACUACGUGCCAGCAGCCGCGGUAAUACGUAGGGGGCAAGCGUUAUCCGGAAUUAUUGGGCGUAAAGAGUACGUAGGUGGUCUUUUAAGCGCAGGGUUUAAGGCAAUGGCUUAACCAUUGUUCGCCCUGUGAACUGGGAGACUUGAGUGCAGGAGAGGAAA
Molecule: ribosomal RNA, 640 nt
Filed under: uncultured bacterium
Lineage: Bacteria
Description: bacterial SSU rRNA
Rfam family: Bacterial small subunit ribosomal RNA
Source: RNAcentral